This 734-nucleotide small RNA is filed under the name Pan troglodytes (chimpanzee). RNAcentral describes it as "processed transcript". The record is from RNAcentral. Lineage: Eukaryota; Metazoa; Chordata; Mammalia; Primates; Hominidae.
ACUUCCAAGGCGUGUCCAGAGCAUUCUGCUCCCAUAAAAGUUCAUCAUAAUCAAACGGGUAAGAAGUACCAAUGGGAUGCAGAAACUCAAGGAUGGAUUCUCGGUUCCUUUUUUUAUGGCUACAUCAUCACACAGAUUCCUGGAGGAUAUGUUGCCAGCAAAAUAGGGGGGAAAAUGCUGCUAGGAUUUGGGAUCCUUGGCACUGCUGUCCUCACCCUGUUCACUCCCAUUGCUGCAGAUUUAGGAGUUGGACCACUCAUUGUACUCAGAGCACUAGAAGGACUAGGAGAGGGUGUUACAUUUCCAGCCAUGCAUGCCAUGUGGUCUUCUUGGGCUCCCCCUCUUGAAAGAAGCAAACUUCUUAGCAUUUCAUAUGCAGGAGCACAGCUUGGGACAGUAAUUUCUCUUCCUCUUUCUGGAAUAAUUUGCUACUAUAUGAAUUGGACUUAUGUCUUCUACUUUUUUGGUACUAUUGGAAUAUUUUGGUUUCUUUUGUGGAUCUGGUUAGUUAGUGACACACCACAAAAACACAAGAGAAUUUCCCAUUAUGAAAAGGAAUACAUUCUUUCAUCAUUAAGAAAUCAGGUAUGGACUUUGACACAUUUUAAAAUUAAUGUCAGAAACUUUUUUUCUUCAGAAUUAAGAUAUCAAUUUUUAAAAAUAGAUAUUCCUAUUGUGCAUGCUCUAGACAAAGUAGAAUAGGCAAAUGAAAUAAACAUCCAAAGUAUUGUCUG